This 744-nucleotide ribosomal RNA is filed under the name uncultured Enterobacterales bacterium. RNAcentral describes it as "bacterial SSU rRNA". It matches the Rfam family "Bacterial small subunit ribosomal RNA", at positions 42 to 775 of the family's 1533-position model. Lineage: Bacteria; Pseudomonadati; Pseudomonadota; Gammaproteobacteria; Enterobacterales. The record is from RNAcentral.
GCAGGCCUAACACAUGCAAGUCGAACGGUAACAGGAAGCAGCUUGCUGCUUCGCUGACGAGUGGCGGACGGGUGAGUAAUGUCUGGGAAACUGCCUGAUGGAGGGGGAUAACUACUGGAAACGGUAGCUAAUACCGCAUAACGUCGCAAGACCAAAGAGGGGGACCUUCGGGCCUCUUGCCAUCGGAUGUGCCCAGAUGGGAUUAGCUAGUAGGUGGGGUAACGGCUCACCUAGGCGACGAUCCCUAGCUGGUCUGAGAGGAUGACCAGCCACACUGGAACUGAGACACGGUUCAGACUCCUACGGGAGGCAGCAGUGGGGAAUAUUGCACAAUGGGCGCAAGCCUGAUGCAGCCAUGCCGCGUGUAUGAAGAAGGCCUUCGGGUUGUAAAGUACUUUCAGCGGGGAGGAAGGCGACAGGGUUAAUAACCCUGUCGAUUGACGUUACCCGCAGAAGAAGCACCGGCUAACUCCGUGCCAGCAGCCGCGGUAAUACGGAGGGUGCAAGCGUUAAUCGGAAUUACUGGGCGUAAGGCGCACGCAGGCGGUCUGUCAAGUCGGAUGUGAAAUCCCCGGGCUCAACCUGGGAACUGCAUUCGAAACUGGCAGGCUAGAGUCUUGUAGAGGGGGGUAGAAUUCCAGGUGUAGCGGUGAAAUGCGUAGAGAUCUGGAGGAAUACCGGUGGCGAAGGCGGCCCCCUGGACAAAGACUGACGCUCAGGUGCGAAAGCGUGGGGAGCAAACAG